RNAcentral lists this ribosomal RNA (253 nucleotides) under uncultured bacterium. Its description in RNAcentral is "partial 16S ribosomal RNA". It matches the Rfam family "Bacterial small subunit ribosomal RNA", at positions 524 to 776 of the family's 1533-position model. The record is from RNAcentral.
UACAGAGGGUGCAAGCGUUAUUCGGAUUUAUUGGGCGUAAAGAGCGCGUAGGUGGUUCGAUAAGUCUGGUGUGAAAGCCCUGGACUCAAUCCAGGAAGUGCAUUGGAUACUGUCGGACUAGAGUAUGGGAGAGGAGAGCGGAAUUCCAGGUGUAGAGGUGAAAUUCGUAGAUAUCUGGAGGAACAAAAGUAGCGAAGGCGGCUCUCUGGACCAUUACUGACACUGAGGCGCGAAAGCGUGGGGAGCAAACAGG